CCUACGUGUGGCAGCAGUGAGGAAUAUUGGUCAAUGGGCGGGAGCCUGAACCAGCCAAGCCGCGUGAGGGAAGACGGUACAGCGUAUCGUAAACCUCUUUUGUCAGGGAACAAAGGCGGGGACUAGUCCCCGUAUGAGGGUACCUGAAGAAACAGCAUCGGCUAACUCCGUGCCAUCAGCCGCGGUAAUACGGGGGAUGCGAGCGUUAUCCGGAUUUAUUGUGUUUAAAGGGUGCGCAGGCGGCCUGUUAAGUGAGCGGUAAAAGCCCGGGGCUCAACCCCGGCGAGCGGUUGAAACUGGCGGGCUGGAGUGGGAGAGAGGUACGCGGAAUGCGAGGUGUAGCGGUGAAAUGCGUAGAUAUCGCGCAGAACCCCGAUUGCGAAGGCAGCGUACCGGCUCCAAACUGACGCUGAGGCACGAAAGCGUGGGUAUCGAACAGGAUUAGAUACCCGAGUAGUC
Molecule: ribosomal RNA, 459 nt
Filed under: uncultured bacterium
Lineage: Bacteria
Description: partial 16S ribosomal RNA
Rfam family: Bacterial small subunit ribosomal RNA
Source: RNAcentral